Molecule: ribosomal RNA, 274 nt
Filed under: uncultured bacterium
Lineage: Bacteria
Description: partial 16S ribosomal RNA
Rfam family: Bacterial small subunit ribosomal RNA
Source: RNAcentral
AGACAGAGGGUGCAAACGUUGUUCGGAAUUACUGGGCGUAAAGCGCGUGUAGGCGGCACUGUAGGUCGGAUGUGAAAUCCCGCGGCUCAACCGUGGAAGUGCAUUCGAAACCGCAGAGCUAGAGUAUCGGAGAGGAAAGUGGAAUGCUUGGUGUAGAGGUGAAAUUCGUAGAUAUCAAGCGGAACACCGGUGGCGAAGGCGGCUUUCUGGACGAUUACUGACGCUGAGACGCGAAAGCGUGGGUAGCAAACAGGAUUAGAUACCCCGGUAGUCC